RNAcentral lists this ribosomal RNA (253 nucleotides) under uncultured bacterium. Its description in RNAcentral is "partial 16S ribosomal RNA". It matches the Rfam family "Bacterial small subunit ribosomal RNA", at positions 524 to 776 of the family's 1533-position model. The record is from RNAcentral.
UACGGGGGGGGCGAGCGUUGUUCGGAAUUACUGGGCGUAAAGGGUUUGUAGGUGGCCUGCUAAGUCAGACGUGAAAUCCCUCAGCUUAACUGGGGAACUGCGUCUGAUACUGGCGGGCUUGAGGACAGGAGAGGAACGCGGAAUUCCAGGUGUAGCGGUGAAAUGCGUAGAGAUCGGCAGGAACACCCAGGGGGAAACCAGCCGACUGGGCAUUUGCUGACGCUGAGGUGCGAGAGCGUGGGGAGCGAACCGG